Molecule: ribosomal RNA, 497 nt
Filed under: uncultured bacterium
Lineage: Bacteria
Description: partial 16S ribosomal RNA
Rfam family: Bacterial small subunit ribosomal RNA
Source: RNAcentral
GAUGAACGCUGGCGGCGUGCCUAAUACAUGCAAGUCGAGCGAACAGACGAGGAGCUUGCUCCUCUGACGUUAGCGGCGGACGGGUGAGUAACACGUGGAUAACCUACCUAUAAGACUGGGAUAACUUCGGGAAACCGGAGCUAAUACCGGAUAAUAUAUUGAACCGCAUGGGUCAAUAGUGAAAGACGGUUUUGCUGUCACUUAUAGAUGGAUCCGCGCCGCAUUAGCUAGUUGGUAAGGUAACGGCUUACCAAGGCAACGAUGCGUAGCCGACCUGAGAGGGUGAUCGGCCACACUGGAACUGAGACACGGUCCAGACCCCUACGGGAGGCAGCAGUAGGCAAUCUUCCGCACUGGGCGAAAGCUUGACGGAGCAACGCCGCGUGAGUGAUGAAGGUCUUCGGAUCGUAAAACUCUGUUAUUCGGGAAGAACAAAUGUGUAAGUAACUAUGCACGUCUUGACGGUACCUAAUCAGAAAGCCACGGCUAACUACGUG